Oxyura jamaicensis (ruddy duck) is the source of this 360-nucleotide long non-coding RNA. RefSeq lists it as uncharacterized. The record is from RefSeq and is a predicted model, not a curated record. The transcript has 3 exons. Lineage: Eukaryota; Metazoa; Chordata; Aves; Anseriformes; Anatidae.
GCCAGUCAAGAUGAAAAACUUCUUCUAAUGGAAUCCAGCUUGAAAGCAACUCAAGAGCAGCUAAGUGAGCAAAUAGCAGAAACCGUUCGCCAAGAACAGAACAGUAGAAAAUCACAGACAGAACUGAAGACCGAGAGAACAUAUUAUAGCAUCUGAAGAAGAAAUUAGUGAUUACAAGUGAGCAACACGAUAAACAAUGAUAUUACCAUCCUGCCAAUAGAGGAAGAUAGAUCAACAUGGACUACACCAUCUUGUUGAAAUGGAUGAGAGCAAGCACAGGCUUUUUGGCUAAUAGGCUAGAAAAUAUCCUAAUAAGGCUCAGCCAAACCCUGAAACAUGCUUUUAGAGUUUCUGUUUCAG